Molecule: long non-coding RNA, 616 nt
Filed under: Coffea arabica (coffee)
Lineage: Eukaryota; Viridiplantae; Streptophyta; Magnoliopsida; Gentianales; Rubiaceae
Description: long non-coding RNA (CARA_LNC005821)
Source: RNAcentral
CCAUACCUAAUCUAACAAAAAGUUCCCAAUUUCCCUCCUUUGAAGUACAAUUAUCACGUGACUGCCCCACAAUUCUUGCAACAUGAAAUCAAUAGAAUGAGAAAUGGGUUAACAUGAAAUCAAUUCUUGCAAUAUGAAAUAGGUUAAUUUGAUAUUAGAGAAAGAGAAAACCACGGCAAGUGUAUGCAAGGUAGUUCACCUGCUCCUAAUUUUUCUCUUUUGAAGUACAAACACCAUGUGAGUGAGCAGCAAUUUCUGCAACAUGGAAUCAAGUAUUUGGAGUGGCAGUUGACCUACUGGCUUCAACGGCAAUUUCUGAAAGAAGGAACUCACAAAACCCAUCUCCCAAAUCACGUAAAAAUCCCAACUUUUUGGCUAAAAUAGACGUUUUGGAUUGGAUUUGGUAGAAUAGCCGUUUGGAAUUGGAUUUGCUCAGAAUAGGUUGCCCGAAUUUUUGGUCAGCAUAGCCGUAUGGUCAAAUUAGCCGUUUGGUAGAGAGAAUGGAAGAAAAGGCUUCACCGGCAAUUUGAGAAAGAAAGAGUUCAAUGCCAAAGGAAAGAACAGGUUUCGUACAAUUUGGAAGGAAUAUUUGACUUUUCCACAUGGCUAAAAAAAA